Molecule: small RNA, 786 nt
Filed under: Pongo abelii (Sumatran orangutan)
Lineage: Eukaryota; Metazoa; Chordata; Mammalia; Primates; Hominidae
Description: processed transcript
Source: RNAcentral
AGUAACAAUGGAGGAGAAGGGGCAGUUUCUAGAAGGAGAAGGAGGCACUGGAGCAGAUACAAAUAAUUCCUGCCUACAAAAUUCUUCCCCAUCUCUCCUCCUAUCAUAAAAGUGUCAGCUUUCACCACUGAUAAUGCAGCUACAAGGACCAGAGUUGAACUUCAAGCAAGAGACUCACAGACAAAGGCACCCUGGGCCAGUGGCACACACUAGCUUUAUCAAAGAGACUCAGGGACAAGUAUGCCUGGUCUGUACUGCAGCUUGCCAAUUAGCUGGAUGAACAGCUGGCUAAUUUCUGUUUUAUCUCUUGGGCAGAAGACACAUGAGGCUAGAAUAGGUAUCUUCAAUGGGGAGCCGAGCUAAGGCCUCAUCAAAAACGGAAACAGAGCACCCAAGAUGAAGAUGCUGUUAGCCUUUGCAGUCUCGACAUAAGUGAACCUAGUAAUAAACGGGUCAAACCCCUUUCCCGAGUCACGUCACUAGCAAACCUCAUCCCGCCCGUGAAGGCCACGCCAUUAAAGCGCUUCAGUCAAACCCUGCAGCGCUCCAUUAGCUUCCGCAGUGAGAGCCGCCCUGACAUCCUCGCCCCCCGACCCUGGUCCAGAAAUGCCGCCCCCUCGAGCACGAAACGGAGAGAUAGCAAGCUGUGGAGUGAGACCUUCGAUGUGUGCGUCAAUCAGAUGCUUACAUCCAAGGAAAUCAAACGUCAGGAGGCGAUCUUUGAGCUUUCCCAAGGAGAAGAAGACUUGAUAGAAGACUUGAAAUUAGCAAAAAAGGUAAAUUUAA